Molecule: long non-coding RNA, 1187 nt
Organism: Topomyia yanbarensis
Lineage: Eukaryota; Metazoa; Arthropoda; Insecta; Diptera; Culicidae
Exons: 2
Source: RefSeq, a predicted model, not a curated record
AAAUAUAUUGCUUGUGGCACUAAAAACUGGAUUCUAACCGCACUGCGCACUUACCAUUCUUCCAUUAAAUUCUUCUCAUAGACCGGUUAGUUCGACUGGUCUGUCUAUGAAAGUACCAUCUCUAUCACUUGAAAUACAUGUUUUUUGACAGCUCGCAGUUUUGAGAUCACUCGCACUUUAAAAGUGCGGAGUCCAGGUUGGUGGGAAGUGCGCAAUAAUAGGAGUCAUUUCAAAAUCAAUUCUUCAAAAGGGCUAAUGAGAUUUUUAUAAACAAACUUAUUUCGCUCAUUACUCCGCUGUCGAGUCGAAUUUCAUGAAAGAUACACAUGAAUCAACAUCUUUAACCUUGGUAGAAUCAAUUUCAAAUGUCUUCUGGGUUGAAAUUAUAACAAAUUAAGAGAAAUCAGCAAAACAAAAGUUUGUUUACAAAUCUUAUUAGCCCUAUUCUAAUGUUGAUAUGGAUUUAAAUGCUGCCUUUGGAAACGGUUGCCAAAUUCUAGUGUUGAAAUCAUCGUAAAGGGAGUGUUGCCGUUUUGACUGAUUUUCACUCUGCGUCUCUUUCACUAUUCUCUUUGCGAUUUACUACAAGAAGGCCAAUCUACACUACUUCCACAGUAAACCGUUAACGAAAAAUCAGAAAGGAAAUGAUGCUGUGGUCUUUGAGUGGCAUAUGUAAGAUGAGAAUUAUUCUUAACGCCGAUGGAUUUGUCCAUCAUAUGGGAGCCGAUCAUGUUCAUGGAAAAACGGUGGCACCCGUCGCGGAAGAGUAUGCGGCUGAUGAAGUCGAUAAGGUAACCCAAGAUAACGCCAGUACGUAGUCAGAAUUCAAUCAGCUAUUCUGUGCCUGCUUCGUGCCCAAAUAUCACCACUUAGCAACAGGCUGCGGGUGCUUGUCGUAUUGUUAAAAACACCAAAGGUUUUGAGGCGCUAGUUCAUGAUGGAUACCGCUACUAUAAUAUGCAAGUUCAACAGGAUGAUUCGGUUAAACGGCUGUGCAAAAUGAAUAAUAAAACAUGCCGGGCGGCCGUGGAUUUAUUCCCCGAUGAAACGGUUGCCAAGGCCAGCGAAAAAUUUCUUUUCCUAGUGAUAAAUUUGAUCACUUUCAGUGCAGCAAUCACCUAUCCAGCUAAAUGAAAUUAUUUACAUGUUUUAUUACUAAUAUAAUAUAUUAAAAUAUGCAUAUGCAA